UACGUAGGCAGCAAGCGUUGUUCGGAGUUACUGGGCGUAAAGCGUGCGCAGGCGGCUUCUCAAGUCAGGGGUGAAAGCCCAGAGCUCAACUCUGGAAUUGCCUUUGAGACUGAGUGGCUUGAGUACGAGAGAGGUGAGUGGAGUUCCCAGUGUAGAGGUGAAAUUCGUAGAUAUCGGGAGGAACACCUGUGGCGAAAGCGGCUCACUGGACCACAACUGACGCUGAGGCGCGAAAGCUAGGGGAGCAAACAGG
RNAcentral lists this ribosomal RNA (253 nucleotides) under uncultured bacterium. Its description in RNAcentral is "partial 16S ribosomal RNA". It matches the Rfam family "Bacterial small subunit ribosomal RNA", at positions 524 to 776 of the family's 1533-position model. The record is from RNAcentral.